RNAcentral lists this ribosomal RNA (553 nucleotides) under Pichia kluyveri. RNAcentral describes it as "partial large subunit ribosomal RNA". It matches the Rfam family "Eukaryotic large subunit ribosomal RNA", at positions 78 to 648 of the family's 3401-position model. Lineage: Eukaryota; Fungi; Ascomycota; Pichiomycetes; Pichiales; Pichiaceae. The record is from RNAcentral.
CCUCAGUUAGCGGCGAGUGAAGCGGCAAGAGCUCAGAUUUGAAAUCUCACCUAGUGUGCGAGUUGUAAAUUGCAGGUUGGAGUCUCGGGUUAGACGUGUGUGCAAGUCCCUUGGAACAGGGUGCCACUGAGGGUGAGAGCCCCGUAUCGUGCAUGUCGACACCUGUGAGGCCCUUCUGACGAGUCGAGUUGUUUGGGAAUGCAGCUCUAAGUGGGUGGUAAAUUCCAUCUAAGGCUAAAUAUUGGCGAGAGACCGAUAGCGAACAAGUACUGUGAAGGAAAGAUGAAAAGCACUUUGAAAAGAGAGUGAAACAGCACGUGAAAUUGUUGAAAGGGAAGGGUAUUGGGCUCGACAUGGGAUUUACGCAUCGUUGCCUCUCGUGGGCGGCGCUCUGGGUUUUUCCUGGGCCAGCAUCGGUUUUCGUUGCAGGAUAAGGACAAUUGGAAUGUGGCUCCUCGGAGUGUUAUAGCCUUUUGUAGAUGCUGCGUAUGGGGACCGAGGGCUGCGGCGGACUCGUUUCGUCUCGGAUGCUGGCACAACGGCGCAAUACCGC